RNAcentral lists this non-coding RNA (30 nucleotides) under Mus musculus (house mouse). Lineage: Eukaryota; Metazoa; Chordata; Mammalia; Rodentia; Muridae. The record is from RNAcentral.
UAAAAAUGAGGUAUAAAUGCCACAAUGCAU